Molecule: ribosomal RNA, 253 nt
Filed under: uncultured bacterium
Lineage: Bacteria
Description: partial 16S ribosomal RNA
Rfam family: Bacterial small subunit ribosomal RNA
Source: RNAcentral
UACGUAGGGUGCAAGUGUUGUCCGGAAUUAUUGGGCGUAAAGAGCUCGUAGGCGGUCUGUUGCGUCGGCUGUGAAAACCCGGGGCUCAACCCCGGGCCUGCAGCCGAUACGGGCAGACUAGAGUUCGGCAGGGGAGACUGGAAUUCCUGGUGUAGCGGUGAAAUGCGCAGAUAUCAGGAGGAACACCGGUGGCGAAGGCGGGUCUCUGGGCCGAUACUGACGCUGAGGAGCGAAAGCGUGGGGAGCGAACAGG